GUCCUCUUGAUUUUAUAUGAGGUCUGACCUGCCCAGUGAAAAUUAUUUUAACGGCCGCGGUAUUUUGACCGUGCAAAGGUAGCAUAAUCAUUAGUCUUUUAAUAGGAGGCUGGAAUGAAGGGUUUGACGAGGUAUUAACUGUCUCAUUUAAUUUGAAGUUAAAAUUUAACUUUUCAGUUAAAAGGCUGAAAUUUCAUUGGAAGACGAGAAGACCCUAUAGAGCUUUAUAUUUAAAAUUAAUAAUUAAUUUUUGUUUAUUAUUAUUUUUUAUUAUUUUAAUUAUUUUGUUGGGGUGACAAAAAUAUAUAUAUAACUCUUUUAUUUAAAUAACAUUGAUUUAUGAUUAUUAGAUCCAAUCUUAUUGAUUGUUAGAUUAAGUUACCUUAGGGAUAACAGCGUAAUCUUCCUUCAGAGUUCAUAUUUACAGGAAGGAUUGCGACCUCGAUGUUGGAUUAAGAUAAUAAUUAGGUGUAGCCGCUUAAUAUAUAGGUCUGUUCGACCUUUAAAUUCUU
RNAcentral lists this ribosomal RNA (512 nucleotides) under Trigomphus citimus. Its description in RNAcentral is "partial 16S rRNA". It matches the Rfam family "Bacterial large subunit ribosomal RNA", at positions 1830 to 2597 of the family's 2925-position model. Lineage: Eukaryota; Metazoa; Arthropoda; Insecta; Odonata; Gomphidae. The record is from RNAcentral.